AACUCGGCUGCAUGAAGCUGGAAUCGCUAGUAAUCGCGGAUCAGAAUGCCGCGGUGAAUACGUUCCCGGGUCUUGUACACACCGCCCGUCACACCAUGGGAGUUGGAAAUGCCCGAAGUCAGUGGCCCAACCGCAAGGAGGGAGCUGCCGAAGGCAGGUUCGAUGACUGGGGUGAAGUCGUAACAAGGUAAC
Molecule: ribosomal RNA, 192 nt
Filed under: uncultured bacterium
Lineage: Bacteria
Description: partial 16S ribosomal RNA
Rfam family: Bacterial small subunit ribosomal RNA
Source: RNAcentral